GUGUAUUAGAUACCCGAGUAGUCCUGGCAGUAAACGGUGCACGCUUGGUGUGGGGACAUUCGACCGUCUCCGCGCCGGAGCUAACGCGUUAAGCGUGCCGCCUGGGAAGUACGAUCGCAAGAUUAAAACUCAAAGAAAUUGACGGGGACCCGCACAAGCGGUGGAGUAUGUGGCUUAAUUCGAUGCAACGCGAAGAACCUUACCUGGUCUUGACAUGCAUUCUGUCGUCGGUGAAAGCCGGCUAGCGUAGCAAUACGCGGUUUGCACAGGUGCUGCAUGGCUGUCGCCAGCU
Molecule: ribosomal RNA, 292 nt
Filed under: uncultured bacterium
Lineage: Bacteria
Description: partial 16S ribosomal RNA
Rfam family: Bacterial small subunit ribosomal RNA
Source: RNAcentral